Molecule: long non-coding RNA, 175 nt
Organism: Etheostoma cragini (Arkansas darter)
Lineage: Eukaryota; Metazoa; Chordata; Actinopteri; Perciformes; Percidae
Exons: 3
Source: RefSeq, a predicted model, not a curated record
AAAAAUGGGUAUCCUACGGCCAGGGAUGUGGAAGGGUUGGCUUGUGUUCCUGGCUACCAACCUCCUCCCUGGUGCUUGGUUGGGACAUUUCGCUCGAGUUCUUUUGAGUCUCUGCCAUGGACAUCUUCGUAGCAGGCUACAUAUGUCUACUAUUUCCUUGCUGGAGUGUGACGUG